GGUUCCAACAAAGGACCGAGGCCCCAGAAGCGGCCCCCACGCGUCCUUUGUUUCUGCGUGGAACAAACUUUACACACGUGUGUGUUUUCCGAGGGUUUCCCGUGUGCUGAGCGCUUGCAAAGCGGAGUCGCGCCCGGGGAGACGCGAAGCCGGUGCCCGCGGCUCACCCAGGGACCCCAGCCAGACAGCGGCACCCGCGGGGCGCGUGCGGGACCCCCAGGCGACCGGGGGAAGCACCGGUAACCGCCCCCCACCCGUGCUUUUUCUCUCACGGAGAAUGUUCCCGCGCGUUCGUUGUGCAACUAAAAAUUAAUGUGAAACAUCCAUUGAGGCAAAUAACAAAAUGCAUCCAACGAAACCCACAUAAAAUCGAGAGAGCCGCGAGCAGGGCUGGGCGAGUUCACUGUGAGGACCGGCUCUGGCUUCCGCGCAGCGCGGAGAGCAGGGCGCUCGCCCGGGGACGCUUCGCAGCGGUGGAAGAUUCGGGCGACAGGGGACUGGGUCGCCGCGCGGGCCGGGCUGGAGGCUGCAGGGACUUGCUGACAGGCCAUCCAAAGACAGAGAGGCCCUGGGGAGGGAAAUUCGGGGAGCCCGUGUGCUUAGCGUAGCGCCCCGGGAAAUAUUUGCCCAAUAAGGGAGAGUUUGUCCCCACACUGCGGCAGAACCCCCCUGCGAGCUCUGACCCCAGCAGCACGGCCAAGCCCCCCCAACCCCGCUCCCCCCUUUAGGGGACAGGUAUUUGUAAAUAACAACUGAGCUGGUCGUCGGUAGGAGAAUCAGAUUAGAAACAUGGUCCCCACUCUCUUCCUAUCUCCCCAGCACUCAUCACCUCACAAAGCAGGGGGGGACCUGUUUACUUUUCCUGGCGCUCUCCCCCAGGCUAGAACGUGAUCUUCUUCCUACGCAGGGACAGUGUUUUAUUCAUCUUUGUACCCACUGCCAUCUCAUCUGGCUUGGAACAGGCUCCGGAUAAAUAUUUUUUAAAUAUGUGCAUGAAUUAAUGAGAGACUCGAGAUUUAGUCCCCAAACUCUCUGACCUCCCUCGAGUGACUUUAAGCCUUUAGAGCCCUUAUCUGUUAAGAAAAAAAGAAAAAAAUGUGGGUUUUUCGUAAUCCUCGUAAUCCGCGCCCUGUCUACUUCUCUGGGGUUAUUGUGAAGAUCAAAUAAGGUACUGUGAAAUUGUGCAGGACAUUCACAGAUGAACAAGUCACAGGGCAAGUUGGACACAUCAAUAGCUCAUGCGUUGAUGUGGACCUAUGAUGGCUUCAGAGACUAUUAACUUGGCCAGGCUCAACUGCAUUUCCUGGAAUUAUCUUUCCUGCAUGUUUGCAGUUCAGAUGGACCACAGGGAAGAUUCUUGGAAGGUUCUUGCAAGAUUCAGAAGGCAAGAGAGGCUGCAGCCGUGUUUUGCAGUUGACACACGUUGCUGCUGAUCUGCUGACUCACCUCACUGGAGUGAAGCAGCCUGCCACAACACCCGCAACCUUCCCCGGCAACUUCUUGCUACUUUUCGACUCCCAGCCGCGUGUAUGUGUUCAGCUCUGUGAUGAAGGGCUAGGCUUCUGCAGGACAGCCUCACCACUGUGGUCAGAGGCAACAAGAAUAGCCACGGGCUUCAGGCUGCCAUCCUGGGGCUCUAGCUUGUGCUCGUGGGUUCUUGCUCUCCCUACUUGACAUCUGCCUUUCCUCUCGACUGCCUAUCCUGUGGACCUGACACCAGCAUCAGACUUGACACGCAGCCUGACAAAGACUGCUUACCCGGUUCCCACAAAUGCAUAAGCCAAUUCUCCAUAACAAAUCCCAUAAAAUAAUUUACAUGUAUAUAACUCCUAUUUCCACUUUUCCAGUUGAACUCCGGCAGAUUUACCCAUCCUGUGCUAGGCACUGUUGAGGACUCUGAGGAUACAAUGAUGAACAAAACCAGUGUAAUUCCUGUCUUCCUCUCCCCCACCCCACCAUUCACUUUCUAGGAGGAGGAAUCAGAAAAUAAACAACGAAUAAACAAUGCAAUCCCAGAGAGUGAUAAAUGCCAGGAGAAAACCAAAAAGAGUGGCCUGCUCGGACCAGGGGUAGUCCAGGGAUGCUUCUCAGAACAAAUGGCAUUUGAGCUGAGCCCUGAAGGGAAGGAGGGGACAGCUAUGCAGGAGCACUCUGGACAAGACGCACUUCAGGGCGAUGCUCCUAGGUGGCAUGAGCCUGGAGUCUUCGAGGAACAGAAAGGAGCCAGGCGGACCGGAGGGCCUUGAGGAGGGAGAGUGCGCAGGGUAAGCUGGAACCCAAGGCUGGCUCCAACUUUGUUGGGCUUGGAAGACAAAGCAGGGAGUUCGGAUUUUACUCUAAGAGCAUCCUGGAGUUAAGGGAUCUUUCAAAGCUGGCUGAGUGAAAGCCCACACACAACUUUGCCUUUGAAAAGUGGGGAUAAAAUGUGGUCUUGCUCUGUGUGUGUGUGUGUGCGUUGGGGUGGGGGGCGAUUUGUGUCUUGGUUUUUGCCUCGGCGUGACUUACAGACCUUUCCAUCCUGCAUCGGUGCCGGGAGAGCCCAGCUCCCUGCUGCUGUCACCAGAAUUCCAUCUUUCCAAGGAAAUCAGGCUUUCUCCUGCUAAGGAGUUCUGUCCAGGACUCUGAUAAAAGCAGUAUGUGAAGCUAAAUAACUCGUGUGAUUUUACACUUCAUUUCCUUGGGAUGCCAUUAGGAACAUCAAGCACUUCUGUCUUUAUUUGACACGAUUUCCUACCCUGUUCUGCCUUGGAACAGAAGAAAAAUGAAAAGAGAGAAAUGGUAUUGGGAAGUUGCAUUGGGAGUGGUAGGGCAGCUGUUUCAAGGCAGGGCUUUUGGAGUCCAGCAGAGGGAGAGGCUUCCGAAACAGGACAGAUGGCAGCCACCUUCCUAAGGGGUCACUGGUCAGCCUCACGUUCUCUGGCUCCUGUUCCAAGCCUCAGCAUUUCUGUCUAAUUGAUUUAGAAAUAGUGUAUUUAUUGGACAGAUGCCUAGAGAUCAUGUAGCCCAGAGAAGGGAAGCUGUUUGCCCAAGGUCACACAGCAGCUCAGUAGCAUAGUUUGGCCUUGCAGCUAGCUCUUUCGACUGCCAGAGCAGCCUGGAGCACCCCUUAGAGAAGAGUUAGUGUCUUCCCCAGGUCCCCUAUAAAGACCAGCACCUCCUGCAUUUGGUUCUCUGGGACAAUUGGUGUCUUUUCUCACUGUGGAGAUGUGAUCACUUAGAUCUUCAUUUAGUUCACAAGCAGGGGUGGAGCAGGGUGGGGUGCACAGGCUGGAGGGAACCAACGCAGGAAGCAUAUGACAGAGUAAAAACACAGCCCACCCGGCAUGCCGUGCCAUGUGCCCUCACUGCAUUGGAUGAAUGGGUCAGUAGGUGGAUGGUGGUCACACGUGAGUGCUGGCUUCACUCUCUUCUCUCCCAUAAUUUAAAGACCUGAAGUUUCACCUCCAGGAAGACUUCCUGGACUAGUGGAAGAUCAAUCUUUGGCCUGAACCGGUUGCCUAGGCAACUUCCACUGUUUCUGGACUCAUGAGUCCUUCUAGUAAGGGUCCCAGGACUGAGCCUCAAUGGCCUGAAGAGAGUCAUGUGCCCACACCUGUGACUACUUAGUGGCUAUCACCAGGGGUGUGAGGCUCAUCUGGUCUAGCCUGGUCACCUGCUCACGACAGAGCUAGAGCUGGACCAGGCCCUCCAGAUUUGUAGACUGAAGCAGCAAGGUGCUGUUCUGAGGAAAAUCAGGGUGCUGUUACCAGAACACCCUGGCAAGCAAGAAAGAGCAGCGAGCCCUACAGACGGCAAACAAGGAUUUCCUUAUCUCCUGGUCGGAACCACUAAGAACCGUGGAACCAUGUGUACUUAAUUCAUGUCUGUACUGUCCUCACGCGGAGUGAGGGCUUUGUAAAUAUUUGCUGAGUGAAUGAAAGAAUAAAUGAAUAGUAAAUGAAUGAAUGAACCUCCCGAGUGAUAAAGGCAGUCUUUACGGUGGGCACGAGGCAGGGACUACUGUGCGCAGGGAACGGCCGCGGGCUCCACACUUGCUGUGAUUGGCCGGCGAGACAAUCUCGGGUGCCCAGGCUGUUUGGACAGCACGCAGGCCCACAGCAGGCAGGAUGGCACCCCUGCCAAGGGCACUUGGGCUUGAAGUUAGAGCAGGGAGGCUGGCGUGCUGGUGGCAGGGCUGAGGCUCAGGGUGCAGCUCAGUGUGAAAUGAGGGCUGCUCUUCUCAGACCUGUC
RNAcentral lists this long non-coding RNA (4230 nucleotides) under Homo sapiens (human). RNAcentral's name for it is "HSALNT0402081". Lineage: Eukaryota; Metazoa; Chordata; Mammalia; Primates; Hominidae. The record is from RNAcentral.